Molecule: ribosomal RNA, 468 nt
Filed under: uncultured bacterium
Lineage: Bacteria
Description: partial 16S ribosomal RNA
Rfam family: Bacterial small subunit ribosomal RNA
Source: RNAcentral
GACGAACGCUGGCGGCGUGCUUAACACAUGCAAGUCGAACGGAAGGGCCCUGCUUUUGUGUGGUGCUCGAGUGGCGAACGGGUGAGUAACACGUGAGUAACCUGCCCUAGACUUUGGGAUAACUUCAGGAAACUGGGGCUAAUACCGGAUAGGAGCUCCUGCUGGAUGGGGGGCGUUGGAAAGUUUAGGCGGUGGGGGAUGGAUGGGCGGCUUAUCAGCUUGUUGGUGGAGUAGUGGCUUACGAAGGCUUUGACGGAUGGCCGGCCUGAGAGGGUGACCGGCCACAUGAGUACUGAGAGACGGCGCAGACGCCUACGGGAGGCAGCAGUGGGGAAUAUUGCACAAUGGGCGGAAGUCUGAUGCAGCAACGCCGCGUGCGGGAUGACGGCCUUCGUGUUGGAAACCGCAUUCGCCUGUGACGAAGCGUGAUUGACGGUAAUGGGUAAAGAAGCACCGGCUAACUACGUG